Molecule: ribosomal RNA, 253 nt
Filed under: uncultured bacterium
Lineage: Bacteria
Description: partial 16S ribosomal RNA
Rfam family: Bacterial small subunit ribosomal RNA
Source: RNAcentral
UACGUAGGGUGCAAGCGUUGUCCGGAAUUAUUGGGCGUAAAGAGCUCGUAGGCGGUCUGUCGCGUCUGGUGUGAAAAUCCAGGGCUUAACCCUGGACCUGCAUCGGGUACGGGCAGACUAGAGUGCGGUAGGGGAGAUCGGAAUUCCUGGUGUAGCGGUGAAAUGCGCAGAUAUCAGGAGGAACACCGGUGGCGAAGGCGGUUCUCUGGGCAUUACCUGACGCUGAGGAGCGAAAGUGUGGGGAGCGAACAGG